Long non-coding RNA from Monopterus albus (swamp eel), 760 nucleotides. RefSeq lists it as uncharacterized. The transcript has 4 exons. Lineage: Eukaryota; Metazoa; Chordata; Actinopteri; Synbranchiformes; Synbranchidae. The record is from RefSeq and is a predicted model, not a curated record.
CCUUAAGUUGGCAAACCGCCAAUAAACAUAACAAGAAGAAGAACGUGCUCGCUAGCACAGUAACAUUUAAUAAUAAUGCCAUAAAGUGCAACGGAGAACAAUGUGAGCCUGUCAAGCUAGUUUAGCUUAGUUAGCAUACAUUUAAAGGUAAAAGAAAACACUUCGCUUAUAAGACAAGGCAGUAAGGAUCAAAAAGGGGUCAAAGUCACUCUUCAUCGAAGUUACAGCUUGCUGACCAGCCCCAAACCACCCCGUGUGCCAUCAGAUGUUUCCCCUGGUGGAUGUUAAUGGAGACACCUAGCUACUCCGUGAUCUCCCAUGACAGGUGUCCUACGGGUCCUGGUCACAUACAUUGACACAUGAACGGAGUGAGGUGAGCGUCAACGUGCAGUCACCACCGUGAGAAUAUCAAGUAACCCGAAAGACACUGUUUCUGCUGUUCUCAUUCAAAAACAGUUAAUCCCCGCCUAUGCACACAAAGUCACGACCAGACACUCUUCCAUCUACUCGGCACCGUCCAGGGAUGAUGACACUAUCUGUUUUCUCCCUAGCAAAUGAAGCCUUUAAAUUGCAGCACCAUAAACAAGUACCUGAUCAAAGCUCUGUGUCACAGAUUAUCUCCUUCAGAAACAAUGUACACUAGAAUUGACACAGGUAAAGCUGCAAAAUGUCAAGAAAACUUGGUUCUUCAUUGGUUUUCAGAUCAACUGUAGUACAAACACGUGAAAGACACGGUCUGGUAUUUGAAACAAAACGUCAA